CCGUAGGUGACCUGCGGAAGGAUCAUUAUUGAAUAAGCUUGGUUGGGUUGUUGCUGGCUCUUCGGAGCAUGUGCACGCCUAACACCAAUCUUCUUUACCACCUGUGCACCUUUUGUAGACCUGGAUAUCUCUCGAGGAAACUCGGUAUGAGGACUGCUGUGCAUUUAAUAAAGCCGGCUUUCCUUACAUUUCCGGUCUAUGUCUUCAUAUACACCAUUUGUAUGUCAUAAGAAUGUUAUAAUAGGACUUGAUUGUCCAAAUAAACCUUAUACAACUUUCAACAACGGAUCUCUUGGCUCUCGCAUCGAUGAAGAACGCAGCGAAAUGCGAUAAGUAAUGUGAAUUGCAGAAUUCAGUGAAUCAUCGAAUCUUUGAACGCACCUUGCGCUCCUUGGUAUUCCGAGGAGCAUGCCUGUUUGAGUGUCAUGAAAUUCUCAACCUUUUCGGCUUUUACUAAAGUUGAUUAGGCUUGGAUGUGGGAGUUUGCGGGCUUUUCUAAAGUCRGCUCUCCUUAAAUUCAUUAGUAGGGACCUUUGUUGCCUUAGCUUUUGGUGUGAUAAUUAUCUACGCCAUUAUGUGAAGCAGCUUUAAAUUGGAGGUUACUGCUUUCUAAUCGUCUCCGGACAUUUCCUGACAAUUUGACCUCAAAUCAGGUAGGACUA
Molecule: ribosomal RNA, 662 nt
Filed under: Tricholoma focale
Lineage: Eukaryota; Fungi; Basidiomycota; Agaricomycetes; Agaricales; Tricholomataceae
Description: eukaryotic LSU rRNA
Rfam family: 5.8S ribosomal RNA (bases 273-426)
Source: RNAcentral